Molecule: long non-coding RNA, 257 nt
Organism: Pectinophora gossypiella (pink bollworm)
Lineage: Eukaryota; Metazoa; Arthropoda; Insecta; Lepidoptera; Gelechiidae
Exons: 2
Source: RefSeq, a predicted model, not a curated record
GUUAGUGAUGGACGUGUUCUUUCAGUUACUUUCGGUUGCAAAUCAAUUUACCGCGAAAGUUUCUUGAUAAUGGCGCCGUCAAAUCAAUAACGUGCAAACCAUGUGGUAUCAUAAAUUAUUAACAUUUUGCGGAAAUGGUUAAAUUGCCGUUUGAGAAAUGAUGAAGCCAAGAUUAACAAAACCGCUUCACUUACACGAAAGACAAUUUAAACACCAGGCGUUGUGACCCAUAACAAUCAACAUCGGAAUUAUUAUUU